ACAUUAAUUCAAACAAUUUUCUAUUAAAUUUUUAUUACAUUUUGGAAUUUUAUUUUAUUUACUUUUCAAAUUACAACUUCUGUUGUCCAUUAUAUAAUUCGUUUGAUCAAUAUUUCAAGUACAAUAAUACCGUAUUCAAAUUAAUUUAGUCUAUUGAUGUUGCACACACUGCUAUACCGACGAAUUCAGGGUGAUAAGCCAGCGUGUAUGAACACAUAAGUUGGCGUAAACAUAGAAUGUUUGUUUCCCUUUGCUAGAUGGCACUGUACAGAUAAUCGAACAUUCGAUUGAACAAUAUUCCACUGCAUCGUAAACGUGGUUCUUGAACUUGCCUCCUACGCACGAUAUAAUUGUUCACACAGUGAAAUAUCAUUAUAAAAAAUAUUCAUAAUAUCAAAAGAAAAUUAUUUUUCGUUUAAAGUUCAAGAAUGAACGACGACAUAUAUAUUUCCAAGAAUCUUCCGUAAACAUUCCCAUAAUAAUCAUGACUGUAGUUAAACGUAUCAUCGCUUAGGCCGCGAUGUACUUAAUCGUUCAAACGGGGAAGGAGGAAAAAAAGGAGGAGCGAAUUAUCCGAGCCAAUGCAUCUUUCGCGUUACCAUAUGCAAUAUACUUUUCGUUGGCGUCGAUUUAUCGCGAUGCGUCGGUUACUUUGCAACUGAAAUCAAUUGUGUUCUGUAAAGAUGCCAAUAUCAACAAGACUUGCAACCAAGUGUCACUUCUCGUGUAUCUAAACGAUGGAAAUUAUUUGCACAGAACUUUUUAUUUAAUCAUUCGUGAUAUAAUAAUAAUAAUAAAAAAAAAAUACUACAGCAAUAUAUCGACUUUCUGUCAAAUUACAAUUAACGUUAUCCCGCAAUGCAUAUUAUAGAAUGAGAAAUGGAAUGGUGUUAGUUAAAAAGCAUGGUGGUAAAGUUCUAUUUAUGCGGGGAAAAGAGUGUCGAUCAGACAAUGACCUCGAUAACGACAUGUUUCUAAAGGAGUAAGCCAGCAGGAGACAAUGGAUAUAUAAUAUCGCCUAUAAUUAGCCUCGUUAAAGCUGUCUCUAAUAAUAAGCAAAGCAGCCAGAUGCAAAACCGUGAGCUACGAUAAUCUGUCUUGCAUGUGCGAUUUGAGAAUAUUACUGUACACAAUCCGCGGAGAGACUGCUCGCCAGAUAAAGCCUUUUAUGAUGAUGCUCAUUAUGCCUGGAGGCUGAACGGCAAACGGAAUUCCCUUAUCAAGCCGUGUUUGUUUAACCCUUUGCAUACG
Molecule: long non-coding RNA, 1251 nt
Organism: Apis mellifera (honey bee)
Lineage: Eukaryota; Metazoa; Arthropoda; Insecta; Hymenoptera; Apidae
Exons: 4
Source: RefSeq, a predicted model, not a curated record